This 465-nucleotide ribosomal RNA is filed under the name Vreelandella stevensii. RNAcentral describes it as "partial 16S ribosomal RNA". It matches the Rfam family "Bacterial small subunit ribosomal RNA", at positions 338 to 795 of the family's 1533-position model. Lineage: Bacteria; Pseudomonadati; Pseudomonadota; Gammaproteobacteria; Oceanospirillales; Halomonadaceae. The record is from RNAcentral.
CCUACGGGCGGCAGCAGUGGGGAAUAUUGGACAAUGGGGGCAACCCUGAUCCAGCCAUGCCGCGUGUGUGAAGAAGGCCCUCGGGUUGUAAAGCACUUUCAGUGAGGAAGAACGCCUGGUGGUUAAUACCCAUCAGGAAAGACAUCACUCACAGAAGAAGCACCGGCUAACUCCGUGCCAGCAGCCGCGGUAAUACGGAGGGUGCGAGCGUUAAUCGGAAUUACUGGGCGUAAAGCGCGCGUAGGUGGGUUGAUAAGCCGGUUGUGAAAGCCCCGGGCUCAACCUGGGAACGGCAUCCGGAACUGUCAAGCUAGAGUGCAGGAGAGGAAGGUAGAAUUCCCGGUGUAGCGGUGAAAUGCGUAGAGAUCGGGAGGAAUACCAGUGGCGAAGGCGGCCUUCUGGACUGACACUGACACUGAGGUGCGAAAGCGUGGGUAGCAAACAGGAUUAGAUACCCCAGUAGUC